GAUGAAGAACGUAGCGAAAUGCGAUACGUAAUGUGAAUUGCAGAAUUCAGUGAAUCAUCGAGUCUUUGAACGCACAUUGCGCCCCCUGGUAUUCCGGGGGGCAUGCCUGUCCGAGCGUCAUUGCUGCCCUCAAGCACGGCUUGUGUGUUGGGCCUCCGUCCUCCUCCCGGGGGACGGGCCCGAAAGGCAGCGGCGGCACCGCGUCCGGUCCUCGAGCGUAUGGGGCUUCGUCACCCGCUCUUGUAGGCCCGGCCGGCGCUUGCCGACACAUCAAUCUUUUUUCCAGGUUGACCUCGGAUCAGGUAGGGAUACCCGCUGAACUUAAGCAUAUCAAUAUGCGGAGGA
RNAcentral lists this unclassified non-coding RNA (345 nucleotides) under soil metagenome. RNAcentral describes it as "partial contains 5.8S ribosomal RNA, internal transcribed spacer 2, and large subunit ribosomal RNA". The stretch from base 1 to 120 matches the Rfam family "5.8S ribosomal RNA", at positions 35 to 154 of the family's 154-position model. The record is from RNAcentral.